AUCAAACCUGAGAAGAGGCGA
Molecule: microRNA, 21 nt
Filed under: Ananas comosus (pineapple)
Lineage: Eukaryota; Viridiplantae; Streptophyta; Magnoliopsida; Poales; Bromeliaceae
Description: microRNA s0640_c86a
Source: RNAcentral